This 554-nucleotide ribosomal RNA is filed under the name Channa lucius. Its description in RNAcentral is "partial 16S large subunit ribosomal RNA". It matches the Rfam family "Bacterial large subunit ribosomal RNA", at positions 1845 to 2605 of the family's 2925-position model. Lineage: Eukaryota; Metazoa; Chordata; Actinopteri; Anabantiformes; Channidae. The record is from RNAcentral.
AUAAGAGGUCCCGCCUGCCCAGUGACAGUGGGUUGAACGGCCGCGGUAUUUUGACCGUGCAAAGGUAGCGCAAUCACUUGUCUUUUAAAUGAAGACCCGUAUGAAUGGCAUAACGAGGGCUUAACUGUCUCCUUUUUCAAGUCAAUGAAAUUGAUCUCCCCGUGCAGAAGCGGGGAUAAAACCAUAAGACGAGAAGACCCUAUGGAGCUUUAGACAAUAGAGCAGCCCUUGUUAAACACCCUACAACAGACAAAACCAAAAGGAGCCUGCCCCAAUGUCUUUGGUUGGGGCGACCGCGGGGAACAUAAAACCCCCAUGUGGAAUGGGAGCAUCUCCUACAACCAAGAGUUACAACUCUAAGCACUAGAACUUCUAACCAAAAGAUCCGGCAAAGCCGAUCAACGAACCGAGUUACCCUAGGGAUAACAGCGCAAUCCCCUUUAAGAGUCCAUAUCGACAAGGGGGUUUACGACCUCGAUGUUGGAUCAGGACAUCCUAAUGGUGCAGCCGCUAUUAAGGGUUCGUUUGUUCAACGAUUAAAGUCCUACGUGAUC